GAGCGGUAGAGAGAAGCUUGCUUCUCUUGAGAGCGGCGGACGGGUGAGUAAUGCCUAGGAAUCUGCCUGGUAGUGGGGGAUAACGUUCGGAAACGGACGCUAAUACCGCAUACGUCCUACGGGAGAAAGCAGGGGACCUUCGGGCCUUGCGCUAUCAGAUGAGCCUAGGUCGGAUUAGCUAGUUGGUGAGGUAAUGGCUCACCAAGGCGACGAUCCGUAACUGGUCUGAGAGGAUGAUCAGUCACACUGGAACUGAGACACGGUCCAGACUCCUACGGGAGGCAGCAGUGGGGAAUAUUGGACAAUGGGCGAAAGCCUGAUCCAGCCAUGCCGCGUGUGUGAAGAAGGUCUUCGGAUUGUAAAGCACUUUAAGUUGGGAGGAAGGGUUGUAGAUUAAUACUCUGCAAUUUUGACGUUACCGACAGAAUAAGCACCGGCUAACUCUGUGCCAGCAGCCGCGGUAAUACAGAGGGUGCAAGCGUUAAUCGGAAUUACUGGGCGUAAAGCGCGCGUAGGUGGUUUGUUAAGUUGGAUGUGAAAUCCCCGGGCUCAACCUGGGAACUGCAUUCAAAACUGACUGACUAGAGUAUGGUAGAGGGUGGUGGAAUUUCCUGUGUAGCGGUGAAAUGCGUAGAUAUAGGAAGGAACACCAGUGGCGAAGGCGACCACCUGGACUAAUACUGACACUGAGGUGCGAAAGCGUGGGGAGCAAACAGGAUUAGAUACCCUGGUAGUCCACGCCGUAAACGAUGUCAACUAGCCGUUGGGAGCCUUGAGCUCUUAGUGGCGCAGCUAACGCAUUAAGUUGACCGCCUGGGGAGUACGGCCGCAAGGUUAAAACUCAAAUGAAUUGACGGGGGCCCGCACAAGCGGUGGAGCAUGUGGUUUAAUUCGAAGCAACGCGAAGAACCUUACCAGGCCUUGACAUCCAAUGAACUUUCUAGAGAUAGAUUGGUGCCUUCGGGAACAUUGAGACAGGUGCUGCAUGGCUGUCGUCGGCUCGUGUCGUGAGAUGUU
RNAcentral lists this ribosomal RNA (1017 nucleotides) under uncultured bacterium. Its description in RNAcentral is "bacterial SSU rRNA". It matches the Rfam family "Bacterial small subunit ribosomal RNA", at positions 64 to 1076 of the family's 1533-position model. The record is from RNAcentral.